This 30-nucleotide non-coding RNA is filed under the name Mus musculus (house mouse). The record is from RNAcentral. Lineage: Eukaryota; Metazoa; Chordata; Mammalia; Rodentia; Muridae.
UAGAAAGCCUCUGUUUGCAAAUGGCUGGGA